AGAGUUUCAAGAUCAAAUAAUUUUCAACAGUGGCGUACUAAGGGGGCAUGGGGGGUGGAAGCCGCAGAACUUCAAAACCGGCCGCAUCUAAGAAAACUGGUGGUGGGGCUAAUCAGCAGCAGGGCAAAGCCAAACCAGCAGCAGGGGCAGAGCUAAACAUUGCCACCACCCACUGCUGCACAUCUAGCAGGAUGGAGUCCCUGAUUCCCA
Non-coding RNA from Pelobates cultripes (western spadefoot toad), 210 nucleotides. Lineage: Eukaryota; Metazoa; Chordata; Amphibia; Anura; Pelobatidae. The record is from the annotation of a GenBank genome assembly.